RNAcentral lists this ribosomal RNA (301 nucleotides) under uncultured bacterium. Its description in RNAcentral is "partial 16S ribosomal RNA". It matches the Rfam family "Bacterial small subunit ribosomal RNA", at positions 509 to 808 of the family's 1533-position model. The record is from RNAcentral.
CAGCAGCCGCGGUAACACGUAGGGUGCAAGCGUUGUCCGGAAUCAUUGGGCGUAAAGCGCGCGUAGGUGGCCAUUUAAGUCCGCUGUGAAAGUCAAAGGCUCAACCUUUGAAAGCCGGUGGAUACUGGAUGGCUAGAGUACGGAAGAGGCGAGUGGAAUUCCCGGUGUAGCGGUGAAAUGCGUAGAGAUCGGGAGGAACAUCAGUGGCGAAGGCGGCCAUCUGGGACAACACUGACGCUGAGGCACGAAAGCGUGGGGAGCAAACAGGAUUAGAUACCCCAGUAGUCCCUGUCUCUUUAUU